UUUUUUGGAAUAAGCAUCAAGAAAAUGAAGGGAGGGCUUCCCCGAUGGCGCAGUGGUUUAGAAUCUGCCUGCUAAUGCAGGGGACACGGGUUCGAGCCCUGGUCUGGGAAGAUCCCAC
Molecule: long non-coding RNA, 118 nt
Organism: Balaenoptera musculus (blue whale)
Lineage: Eukaryota; Metazoa; Chordata; Mammalia; Artiodactyla; Balaenopteridae
Exons: 4
Source: RefSeq, a predicted model, not a curated record